AUUGAACGCUGGCGGCAUGCUUUACGCAUGCAAGUCGAACGGGCUUAGGGGCUUGCUCCUAAGUUAGUGGCGAACGGGUGAGUAAUACAUCGGAACGUACCGUGUAGUGGGGGAUAACGUAGCGAAAGUUACGCUAAUACCGCAUACGAUCUACGGAUGAAAGUGGGGGACCUUCGGGCCUCACGCUAUACGAGCGGCCGAUGUCUGAUUAGCUAGUUGGUGAGGUAAAGGCUCACCAAGGCAACGAUCAGUAGCGGGUCUGAGAGGAUGAUCCGCCACACUGGGACUGAGACACGGCCCAGACUCCUACGGGAGGCAGCAGUGGGGAAUUUUGGACAAUGGGCGAAAGCCUGAUCCAGCCAUGCCGCGUGUCUGAAGAAGGCCUUCGGUUGUAAAGG
This 398-nucleotide ribosomal RNA is filed under the name uncultured bacterium. RNAcentral's name for it is "bacterial SSU rRNA". It matches the Rfam family "Bacterial small subunit ribosomal RNA", at positions 30 to 431 of the family's 1533-position model. The record is from RNAcentral.